This 253-nucleotide ribosomal RNA is filed under the name uncultured bacterium. RNAcentral's name for it is "partial 16S ribosomal RNA". It matches the Rfam family "Bacterial small subunit ribosomal RNA", at positions 524 to 776 of the family's 1533-position model. The record is from RNAcentral.
UACGUAGGGUGCAGGCGUUAAUCGGAAUUACUGGGCGUAAAGCGUGCGCAGGCGGUCUUUUAAGUCAGAUGUGAAAUCCCCGGGCUUAACCUGGGAACUGCGUUUGAAACUGAAAGGCUAGAGUGUGGCAGAGGGGGGUGGAAUUCCACGUGUAGCAGCGAAAUGCGUAGAGAUGUGGAGGAACACCAGUGGCGAAGGCGACUCUUUGGUCUGUAACUGACGCUGAGGCGCGAAAGCGUGGGGAGCAAACAGG